Molecule: ribosomal RNA, 499 nt
Filed under: uncultured bacterium
Lineage: Bacteria
Description: partial 16S ribosomal RNA
Rfam family: Bacterial small subunit ribosomal RNA
Source: RNAcentral
GACGAACGCUGGCGGCGUGCCUAAUACAUGCAAGUCGAGCGAAGUUUUUCUGGUGCUUGCACUAGAAAAACUUAGCGGCGCACGGGUGAGUCACACGUAAAGAACCUGCCUCAUAGACUGGGACCACUAUUGGAAACGAUAGCUAAUACCGGAUAACAGUAUUUCUCGCAUGAGAGAUAUUUAAAAGUUGGUUAUGCUAACACUAUGAGAUGGCUUUGCGGUGCAUUAGCUAGUUGGUGGGGUAAAGGCCCACCAAGGCGACGAUGCAUAGCCGACCUGAGAGGGUGAUCGGCCACACUGGGACUGAGACACGGCCCAGACUCCUACGGGAGGCAGCAGUAGGGAAUCUUCCGCAAUGGGCGAAAGCCUGACGGAGCAACGCCGCGUGAGUGAAGAAGGAUUUCGGUUCGUAAAGCUCUGUUGUUAGGGAAGAAUGGAUAUGUAGUAACUAUACAUGUAAGAGACGGUACCUAACCAGAAAGCCACGGCUAACUACGUG